UUCAGAGAGCUCCUUUCCGAGAACGUUGCGGAAGCAACAUGUCAACUCAACCGCCUCAGGAAAGCAGAUAGGAAACCUACCAUAGGAUAGGACAAACCUAGAGUCACUAAAAGCCAUGCGCCCUGAUAAGCACGAGUGCAGUGCGCGCUUUUUGUCAUGUGUGUCCUCCAGAACCUGCUGUUCACGACACGAUAGCUUUGUGAUCUUGUGGCUGUUUUGGUAGUUGCUCGUGCUCUGUGUGGCAGCCGUCCGUGGUUAACUCAGUCAGUGCUAGUUGAAGUACGGUGAAUCCCUACAGUGCAGUGUUUUCUUCCGCGAUAGCAUCUGAGAAGACGGAUUAUAUUCUUAUCAACGACUACCUUUCGUCGCGACGCUGGUCACACGAGAGAGAUCAACAACGCCAAGCGGGUCUAUGCAUGCCACGAUCACUGUCGACCAACGCAGGAGUCAAAGCUAUACACCAACAUGAUGGUCGCCGUGUGGUGUGGAAGUGAGGAUUGAAACCGGUCCAGCAGCUGCUCAGAGUCUGUUAUGCGCGCUCCCUUCUGGUCACAAGUGAGACGUCUGAGAACCCACCUUUCACAGACUCUGCGGAACAUGGCAUGCAAGCUGGCUAUACACUCCACACCAGACGAUGCACACAGAGAAUCAUUACAAAGUUCGUCUAUCUCGAACCGAUCUGCUGUAAUGUACCACGGGGCAGCGGUCGUAACGAUGUGGUUUGCAGUCCGUUGGCGGUGCAGGAAAGGUCUUUUCAACGAGUCACGAACAUUCGAUGGAGUGCUCCCACUUCGGAGCCACUUAGGUUUAUCACGUCAUCCGGUCACAGCUGCCAUUGUGCGUACGGGGACCGAAAAUCGAUCGGGGUUAGCCAAAAAUACUCCCACCCUGUCAAAUCUAUACCGGCUCAUCACCGUCAAGGUUGUCGCCAGUGCUGCCUGGAGACAGACUGCAGAAAUGCAAGGGGAAUAAUGUCCAUAUGGACUUCGUACUGGUGGUCUGUAGUAUUUCUUCAGCUAAGAAUGACGAAUGGCAAGGCACAGAUUCUACCUCUGCAGUAGAUGAAGCGGUGCAUUUUUAUUUUUAGUCUCAUUUAAGAUCGCUAAAAGUGAACGAAAUUUUUGUGCGCCGCUAGACUGUUACCACACCACAGUUGUAUCUUGCCCCUUUUCUGCACACUCGUACAACUCGUAUAGCUCAAAGUUUGUUACGAUGCGGAUAUGAACGAUGACUUCCUAACUCACGUGAUCACGAUCACGUUAGCAGGGCUACUGGUUGCUGUCAUCGGAAAAACAUGUGCA
Molecule: long non-coding RNA, 1301 nt
Organism: Ornithodoros turicata
Lineage: Eukaryota; Metazoa; Arthropoda; Arachnida; Ixodida; Argasidae
Exons: 5
Source: RefSeq, a predicted model, not a curated record